GUUUGAUUUCAGUGGUAAGAAUGAUAUGAUAUGGGGGGAAUGUUUGAUCUCACUGGUAAAAAUGAUCAGUUAUGUGGGGGAGUGUUUCAUCUCGGUGGUAAGAAUGAUCUGAUAUUGGAGGGAAUGUUUGAUCUCACUGAGCCUGGUGUAGCCUGGAAAGACUGUGGGCCGUAUUCCGACCGGGUGCAUCACAGACUGGUAUGGAAACUCCAAUCACAGGAACAUAAGCAGCUACAAAGAGUGAUGAACUCAGCAAAUCUCAUUGUGGGUGCAACUCUCCCUGCCACUGAGGACAUCUACAAGGGGCAAUACCUGAGGAAGGCAACGUCCAUCAUCAAGGAUCCCCACCGUGCUCUCUUCUCAAUAGUGCUGUAGGGCUGAAGGUACAGGAGCCUGAAGACUCAUGCCCCAAGGUUCAACAACAGCUUUUUCCCCAUUACCACUCCUCUCCCUGUCUCCCCUCCAUGAACUCUUUCUAAAUUUUCUGUUGCCUCAGUCAAGCAGCCAGCAUAAUCAAAGACCCCACGUCCUGAAUAUUUUCUCUUCUCUCCCAUUCCAUUGGGCAGACAACACAAAAGCCUUAAAGCACGUACCAUCAGGUUCAAGGACAGCUUCUCGCUUGCUGUUUUAAGUAUGUGCCUUUUAUACAGUGAAAUGAUCUGACAGUCUACCUUAUGAUGGCCAUGCACCGGACUGUCUGCCUGCACUUCACUUUCUCUCUAAAUGUAACACUUUACUGUGACUGCUUUUCCCUUGUAUGACCUCAGUGUGCUGAUGUGAUUAAAUGUACUUCUUCAGUGUA
Molecule: long non-coding RNA, 802 nt
Organism: Hypanus sabinus (Atlantic stingray)
Lineage: Eukaryota; Metazoa; Chordata; Chondrichthyes; Myliobatiformes; Dasyatidae
Exons: 2
Source: RefSeq, a predicted model, not a curated record